This 412-nucleotide long non-coding RNA is filed under the name Homo sapiens (human). Its description in RNAcentral is "non-protein coding lnc-NIFK-1:1". The record is from RNAcentral. Lineage: Eukaryota; Metazoa; Chordata; Mammalia; Primates; Hominidae.
AAAAGUUUCUGAGAAGGGAGAGAAAUGGAGGGAAGUGAGACAUGACUAAGAUGUAGGUAAAAAGGAAUAAAGGUUUUCCCUGCUCAAAACUCUCAUGAAGAAAUUAAUGGAGAAGGAAAGCACAAAGCAUGCUUGAAAGAAAGCAAUGAAAGGAGGAGGAUGACUGGAGUUUCACAGCUGCUUUAAUACAACUGGUUUCACUUAGAGAAGAUGACAUGUUGAAAUGUGAUGAGUAAAGAUGUGCAGAAUGCUUCCCCAGUAAUUGGAAUUCAAGCAACAAUAACACUGGGCAUUGUUGGAUCCUUUACAACUUUAAGAAAAAGGUCUCCUUCCUUCAUUUUGGAAAAAAGCGCACAUAUUAUAGAACAUCAUGACUUUAUUCAACAUUAAAAAGAGAAAUUAAAAAUUAUUU